AGGAAAUAGGGCACAAAAGAACCCAUCAGCAGCUGGUUUUUCACUGGAAUGCUUGUAACAGGGGAAGAAAGAGCUGUAUUUCAGGGAUCCUGGGGGAAAGGUGGCAUCUCCCUUCCCUGCCACGUCCCACUGCCACUGCUUCACCACUGAAUCGGUGCAAGAACAGAUAGAUGGCUUCUCUCCCUACAGUGCAGGAGCACCUUAAAUUAUGAACACCUUUACCUUCAGGAGAACAUGGAAGCCUGGAACAGAAAUAUGUGCUCCAGUGCCACAGAAAGGAGCAGCUGGAGGAAGGAGACUCAGCCUUUCUCGCCCUGAUUUCUCCAUCUGAGGAGACAACAGAACUGAGUGGGGUCUAUAAGGAGCAUGGAUUUGAGGAGAAACUGCAGCUUCUCGGUGAGUUAUCCAUUAUUUUAGGUAUUAUUUAUGUAUUAUAAUAUCCAUUAUUGCAGCACACGUUACGACACGGGCUGCUCUUCAAGGGAUCGUGGGAAUGCAGAGAAAAGGAGAAAGUUGCUGCUGGAGGGUUCCUGUGUUUUCCAGACCCCAUUGCUGCCUCUCUAAGGAGACGUCUGGAGAGAAGAAAAAAAGUCCUUGCAUUGAUCUCUCUCCUUUCAGACACCUGAAGGCAGGAAGCUCUUGCUGCGAGCAGGGGGCUGACACCACCCUGGGCUCUUUCCAGGUGGGCUCUUUGGUUUUCCAGCUGGGAAGGAGAGAGAAAGAGUUCAAAUGUGAGAGAACUGCAUAUCCAGGGGGAUGAAAGGGUUGUUUUGGGAUUAGGGAUUUCAUAUAUGAAAGGGGAAGAGGCAGCAGCUCCUGUUCUCUUUAGGACUGGACAUGCAGAGAGCGUGUCUGUGGCUCUUGUCCCUCAGGCUAUCUGAGAGGAUUAUGGAUAUUCUGGGCACUGUUUGACACCCUCAAUAUCCACACAGCUCAUUCAUGGAUCACUGUUCACAGGCAGGGUCAUGGCUUGAACAUCCAGGGACAGAAAACUGUCCUUUUGAAUUAGUCCAGUCCUUGUUCUGUGUUUUUAUCGAGUUCCUUCCCCGUUACAAAAGGGUUUUCCUGGAAACAAUGGAAAGCAGUCGAUAAGGAAGCGGGGUACAACAGAUAGAACCACUUAGUUUCUGUCAGCCAGACAAGGAGCUUUCUUCCUCCCUGAUAUAAUGCCUAAAAAAUGGGAACAAAAGCACAUUUUCAUUCACUGAGCUCCUUCAGUGCUGGAGCUGAUAAAAUCUUGAACAUGAAUCCUGAGCCAGCAGCAGGGGGAGGAAGAAAGGGGCUCCUUCUCAGUGGAAUGCAAAGGGAAAACCCUGGCAUUACCCAGUGAGGGAUAAACAGGGGAGAAUUCAGGGAAAAAAGGUGAUUAAAAUUUCACAGAAUCAUAGGAUGGUUUGGGUUGGGAGGGACCUUAAAGCCCAUCCCAUUCCACGGGCAGGGACACCUUCCACCAGCCCAGGUUGCUCCAAGCCCUGUCCAACCUGGCCUGGGACACUUCCAGGGAUGGGGCAUUUACAAGUUCUUUGGGAAACCUGUGCCAGGGCCUGCCCACCCUCACAGGGAGGAGAAGAUGGGCAGGAUUGUUCUCAGACUUUUCCUAAUAAGAAAAGAAAAAAAAGCAUAUACUUUUCUCAUCUUUCUGGAAUAUCUACUGUAGGGAGUAAGCAAGAUUGAACAGCCUGAGCGUUAAGGGUAGGGCUGAAAUUCUCUAUUUAAUUAGGAUUUAUGCUUUGAAUAUGCAAAUUUAAUAUUCAUUUACACUUGACUUUGCAGAGCUGUCAGCAAAAUAUGCUGUGAGGGAACCAAUAGUGCUCAUUGCUCCCAGAUUUCAGUGCUACUGAAGGUUGUUGGUAGGACCCAGAAAAGGUGUAUGGAAGGUUGGGGAGGAGAAACAAAGGAUGGGAACAUUUCCUCUCAUGACUCUUUUCCCAUUCACAGUCAGAAGUUCAUUGGGAUGAACUAACUGAAAAAAAGAGACCAACUAAAAACCCCCAAACAGUUUUGUCAUCUCACUUUAUAAAGCAUCUGCUGAAAGCGUGAGGGGGCCAUGGAUCUUCCCAGAGGUGUCUGAAAACGAUGGAACUCUUCUAAAGCCAAGAGUUUAUUCUUUACUACAUUUUCCAUGUUAAUAAUAGAUGAAUUUGUGGGAUUGGCAGGCUCUCCAUCUGCUUUAAUGUUAUCUUUUAUAAGCCCAUAAAAAGAGAGAUUGCCGGAAUAACGGUAUUGUUGAAAAAAGAGGAAGAAGUGACUCAGUUUCUCACCCCAGUAUUUAUUUGGAGGAGCUGAAACUUGCCCAUAAUCAUAACAAAAUGAAAUUACUCUUUUUGUGCCCAUCAGGGCUAAACCCAUAUUUUGAAGGUUUCAUUUCUGAGGGCUCUGGAAAAAUUUGACUUUGUUCUUUGUGCACCAACAGAUUAAUAAAUAUUGCUUAUCCAUUUUUAA
Long non-coding RNA from Myiozetetes cayanensis, 2442 nucleotides. RefSeq lists it as uncharacterized. The transcript has 7 exons. Lineage: Eukaryota; Metazoa; Chordata; Aves; Passeriformes; Tyrannidae. The record is from RefSeq and is a predicted model, not a curated record.